AUCUGAUGCAAAAACAGCAAUCUGGGUCCAUUGUUAACCUCAAAGGCACCCAACAGUCCGGAACAGCCUAAACUCUGCUGUAAAAAUAAGCUCGGUAUCUCAGCACGAGCGUAAAUACAUUCUACACUAUCCUGGAUAUCCACCACCCACAAACUGCGGUGAUACAAACAAACUGUGACUCCUAAAACUAAAUCUGGUAGUUUUAACAUAUGACAGUAUAGAAGCGCUAGUUUUCUCCUAAGUCAAUUUCAAGUCCAAAAUGUAUAAUUUAUCUAACUUACGACAGCAUGCUCCAAAUUCAGAUUUCAUUUAACAUGCUAAUUAAUGAAUUCGAGCUAAAAACAGGAUAUACAACUGCUGAAAAUAUACAUGUUGACUACGU
Molecule: long non-coding RNA, 382 nt
Filed under: Ananas comosus (pineapple)
Lineage: Eukaryota; Viridiplantae; Streptophyta; Magnoliopsida; Poales; Bromeliaceae
Description: long non-coding RNA (ACOM_LNC000425)
Source: RNAcentral